CCUACGGGAGGCUGCAGUGGGGAAUAUUGGGCAAUGGGCGCAAGCCUGACCCAGCAACGCCGCGUGAAGGAAGAAGGCUUUCGGGUUGUAAACUUCUUUUAAGAGGGAAGAGCAGAAGACGGUACCUCUUGAAUAAGCCACGGCUAACUACGUGCCAGCAGCCGCGGUAAUACGUAGGUGGCAAGCGGUGUCCGGAUUUACUGGGUGUAAAGGGCGUGUAGCCGGGCGGAAAAGUCAGUUGUGAAAUUCUGGGGCUCAACCCCGGACCUGCAUUUGAAACUGUUGGUCUUGAGUAUCGGAGAGGCAGGCGGAAUUCCUAGUGUAGCGGUGAAAUGCGUAGAUAUUAGGAGGAACACCAGUGGCGAAGGCGGCCUGCUGGACGACAACUGACGGUGAGGCGCGAAAGCGUGGGGAGCAAACAGGAUUAGAUACCCCAGUAGUC
This 442-nucleotide ribosomal RNA is filed under the name uncultured bacterium. RNAcentral's name for it is "partial 16S ribosomal RNA". It matches the Rfam family "Bacterial small subunit ribosomal RNA", at positions 338 to 795 of the family's 1533-position model. The record is from RNAcentral.